UGUACACACCGCCCGUCACACCAUGGAAGUUGGUCACGCCCGAAGUCGUUACCCCAACCGCAAGGGGGGGGAUGCCUAAGGUAGGACUGAUGACUGGGGUGAAGUCGUAACAAGGUAGCCGUACCGGAAGGUGUGGCUGGAUCACCUCCUUUUAGGGAGACCUAAUCCAUUUAGAAAUUUCCAGCAAUUUUCAUUGCUAGAAACUAAAUUGGUCUAACCUAGGUCGGUCGAGAUUGGUAGAUAUCUUUCAAAGUAUUAUUCGGCUUAGUUCAAAACUUGAAGCAUCAUAAAUGGAAAAAAGACAGCACCUAACAAUAAAAGUUAGACUGCUGGGUGAAAUUCCAGCCAGAACCUUGAAAACUGCAUAAGAGAACGAGAAAAAGCAGGCAGACACAGACAUGAGAGUGUUUCGUGAAAGCAAAGAAAAAUUGUGGUCAAGCUAAUAAGGGCUAAUGGUGGAUACCUAGGCACACAGAG
This 477-nucleotide unclassified non-coding RNA is filed under the name uncultured cyanobacterium. Its description in RNAcentral is "partial contains 16S ribosomal RNA, 16S-23S ribosomal RNA intergenic spacer, and 23S ribosomal RNA". The stretch from base 1 to 152 matches the Rfam family "Bacterial small subunit ribosomal RNA", at positions 1382 to 1533 of the family's 1533-position model. Lineage: Bacteria; Bacillati; Cyanobacteriota. The record is from RNAcentral.